GUGUAGAUUUGUGCGUAUGACAGAGCUGAGAAUAGCAACUGAAGCGUAAGAGAUUUACGGUGCAUUUGAUCAGGAUAUUAGUGAAAAUAAAUAGAAUUGUGCAGCAUGGAUAUCAAUGGGAUGACAGAUCGAUGUAUUUGUGGCUUUUUUUGGCGCAGCAGAUCGUUCUGAGUGCAACCAGCAGUUAAUCGAGGCAGUUGCAUUGAAGAAAAAAAAAAAAAAAAAACGGAACUUUAGAAGCGCAGCGUUUUGCGGGGGAAACAUUUUAGUAACGGAUCGGAUAGAUGAUUCUCUCGGCUAGUGGGGGAAAAUGACUAAAAAAACCGUGAAACAUAAUGAGAUAAAAUAUGACAGGCGAGUGGCGAAAUGUUGAACCUUGUUUCUGCGGAGGCGCGGCGUCGGACAGCCGGUAAAUUGAGCGGUUACGGCGGUGCGGGGCAAUUUUGCCAGGUCUGUUGGUUGCUGAACGUCGAAGCAGAUGGCUUGGUGGUCAGUGUGGCGUCGAGUAUUGAACCCAGGGCGUGAUGAAUGAGUGUUUGGAGCUGAUGUGGUGGACAUGUUAAAGCACCCAUCGACAUACAAUUGUCCUGGACCUGCAGGUCAACCUGGUAUGAAGCAACCAAGUCCUGACUUGACCUCACCUCCACAAGGUCAGUACCCCUGCAAGGGGAUAACUCGUCUGAUGACACACCCUUGAGCAUGGCCAGCUGCAUGAGCACUGCAGACUCCGAGCUGUCAGCGGAAAAGACUGCAUGAACUUUUGGUGGACACUGGAGCCACGUAUGGGCCUCUGAGUUGUGGACUAAGACUGUCACUGAAUAUGAUAUUGAGAGAGGAAACAGUGUCUGCCGUUGUGAUCUGAGGGGGAGAAAGAAUUGCUAGCAUCUAUGGAGGACUGUGAACAGAGCCUGCUACAACUGGUGUUCUCUCCAACUAUGGAAGAUGCAACGUCUGGGUUCCUGCUCUUCUUCCCACCUGACCUGCCACACGUCACUCUGUUCUACGACGCACAGACUGGUAUCAUGAUUCUUUAAGGUAAAACACAGACAGUCAUUCUAGGAAUAUGUAUGUGGCACCUGAGCAUUUGGCAGCUGCUACUGCUGAACAAUUUAUAACGAUAUAUGAUGUUGGAUGAAACGAUUUCACACAUUUCUCUUUCUCUCCAUGUUGAGCACCAGAAAGAAGUAGGGGCGUGGUUAAACAUUCCCUUCAGGCAACUGACUGGGCUCCUACCAGCGUGCAGUUUUCAGCUAAUCCACACAAGAUGCCUCUUUACAACAGCCCAGAGGAGGCAGUUCUCAGGAAAAAUGCUCUUAUGGAACGACUUCAACAUGAAGCGGAUAUGAAGGAGAACCACCCGAUUCAAAGGAUGCCUACCUUCACCACAAUGGACUUUGACAAGCUUUUACAGAAGAUAGCUGUUAUGGAACUGAAAAUCUGUCG
Fundulus heteroclitus (mummichog) is the source of this 1443-nucleotide long non-coding RNA. RefSeq lists it as uncharacterized. Lineage: Eukaryota; Metazoa; Chordata; Actinopteri; Cyprinodontiformes; Fundulidae. The transcript has 3 exons. The record is from RefSeq and is a predicted model, not a curated record.